This 400-nucleotide ribosomal RNA is filed under the name phytoplankton environmental sample. Its description in RNAcentral is "partial small subunit ribosomal RNA". It matches the Rfam family "Eukaryotic small subunit ribosomal RNA", at positions 587 to 985 of the family's 1831-position model. The record is from RNAcentral.
AGCUCCAAUAGCGUAUACUAACUUUGUUGCAGUUAAAAGGCUCGUAGUCGAAUUUAUGGCAUUGUCGUCCUGACCCACUAUUCAAUAUAGUGAGUGUUGGUGUCUACUUGUCAUCCUUCUGGAAAGCACUUCUGACAUUGAUUUGUUGGUUGUUGUAAUCCAGAUCAUUUACUGUGAGUAAAUCAAAGUGUUCAAAGCAGGCUUGUGAAGCUUGUAUGCUCUAGCAUGGAAUAAUAAGAUAGGACUUGGUUCUAUUUUGUUGGCUUUCAGAAUCAAGUAAUGAUUGAUAGGGAUAGUUGGGGGUGCUUAUAUUUAAUGGUCAGCGGUGAAAUGCGUAGACCCAUUAAAGAUAAACUUAUGCGAAAGCAUUCACCAAGGAUAUCUUCUUUGAUCAAGAACG